AGUGAACGCUGGCGGUAGGCCUAACACAUGCAAGUCGAACGGCAGCACAGUAAGAGCUUGCUCUUACGGGUGGCGAGUGGCGGACGGGUGAGGAAUACAUCGGAAUCUACUUUUUCGUGGGGGAUAACGUAGGGAAACUUACGCUAAUACCGCAUACGACCUACGGGUGAAAGCAGGGGAUCUUCGGACCUUGCGCGAUUGAAUGAGCCGAUGUCGGAUUAGCUGGUUGGCGGGGUAAAGGCCCACCAAGGCGACGAUCCGUAGCUGGUCUGAGAGGAUGAUCAGCCACACUGGAACUGAGACACGGUCCAGACUCCUACGGGAGGCAGCAGUGGGGAAUAUUGGACAAUGGGCGCAAGCCUGAUCCAGCCAUACCGCGUGGGUGAAGAAGGCCUUCGGGUUGUAAAGCCCUUUUGUUGGGAAAGAAAAGCAGCAGGUUAAGACCCCGCUGUUCUGACGGUACCCAAAGAAUAAGCACCGGCUAACUUCGU
RNAcentral lists this ribosomal RNA (491 nucleotides) under uncultured bacterium. Its description in RNAcentral is "partial 16S ribosomal RNA". It matches the Rfam family "Bacterial small subunit ribosomal RNA", at positions 29 to 506 of the family's 1533-position model. The record is from RNAcentral.